GUGGGGAAUAUUGGACAAUGGGCGCAAGCCUGAUCCAGCCAUGCCGCGUGAGUGAUGAAGGCCUUAGGGUUGUAAAGCUCUUUCGUCAGGGAAGAUAAUGACGGUACCUGAAGAAGAAGCCCCGGCUAACUUCGUGCCAGCAGCCGCGGUAAUACGAAGGGGGCUAGCGUUGCUCGGAAUCACUGGGCGUAAAGCGCACGUAGGCGGCUUUCUAAGUCAGGGGUGAAAUCCUGGAGCUCAACUCCAGAACUGCCUUUGAUACUGGAGAGCUUGAGUUCGGGAGAGGUGAGUGGAACUGCGAGUGUAGAGGUGAAAUUCGUAGAUAUUCGCAAGAACACCAGUGGCGAAGGCGGCUCACUGGCCCGAUACUGACGCUGAGGUGCGAAAGCGUGGGGAGCAAACGGGAUUAGAUACCCGAGUAGUCC
This 425-nucleotide ribosomal RNA is filed under the name uncultured bacterium. RNAcentral's name for it is "partial 16S ribosomal RNA". It matches the Rfam family "Bacterial small subunit ribosomal RNA", at positions 354 to 796 of the family's 1533-position model. The record is from RNAcentral.